Molecule: ribosomal RNA, 771 nt
Filed under: Leuconostocaceae bacterium
Lineage: Bacteria; Bacillati; Bacillota; Bacilli; Lactobacillales; Lactobacillaceae
Description: bacterial SSU rRNA
Rfam family: Bacterial small subunit ribosomal RNA
Source: RNAcentral
UUGCAAAGAGUGGCGAACGGGUGAGUAACACGUGGGAAACCUACCUCUUAGCAGGGGAUAACAUUUGGAAACAGAUGCUAAUACCGUAUAACAAUGACAACCGCAUGGUUGUUAUUUAAAAGAUGGUUCUGCUAUCACUAAGAGAUGGUCCCGCGGUGCAUUAGCUAGUUGGUAAGGUAAUGGCUUACCAAGGCGAUGAUGCAUAGCCGAGUUGAGAGACUGAUCGGCCACAAUGGGACUGAGACACGGCCCAUACUCCUACGGGAGGCAGCAGUAGGGAAUCUUCCACAAUGGGCGAAAGCCUGAUGGAGCAACGCCGCGUGUGUGAUGAAGGGUUUCGGCUCGUAAAACACUGUUGUAAGAGAAGAAUGACAUUGAGAGUAACUGUUCAAUGUGUGACGGUAUCUUACCAGAAAGGAACGGCUAAAUACGUGCCAGCAGCCGCGGUAAUACGUAUGUUCCAAGCGUUAUCCGGAUUUAUUGGGCGUAAAGCGAGCGCAGACGGUUAUUUAAGUCUGAAGUGAAAGCCCUCAGCUCAACUGAGGAAUUGCUUUGGAAACUGGAUGACUUGAGUGCAGUAGAGGAAAGUGGAACUCCAUGUGUAGCGGUGAAAUGCGUAGAUAUAUGGAAGAACACCAGUGGCGAAGGGCGGCUUUCUGGACUGUAACUGACGUUGAGGCUCGAAAGUGUGGGUAGCAAAACAGGAUUAGAUACCCUGGUAGUCCACACGUAAACGAUGAGUGCUAGGUGUUUGAGGGUUUCCGCCCUUAA